CAGCCGCCGCGGGAAUACAGAGGAUGCAAGCGUUAUCCGGAAUGAUUGGGCGUAAAGCGUCUGUAGGUGGCUUUUCAAGUCCGCCGUCAAAUCCCAGGGCUAAACCCUGGACAGGCGAUGGAAACUACCAAGCUGGAGUAUGGUAGGGGCAGAGGGAAUUUCCGGUGGAGAGGUGAAAUGCGUUGAGACCAGAAAGACUCCAACGGCGAAAGCACUCUGCUGGGCCGACACUGACACUAAGAGAUGAAAGCCAGGGGAGAAAAUGGGAUUAGAUACCCCCGUAGUCCCUGUCUCUUAUACC
This 301-nucleotide ribosomal RNA is filed under the name uncultured bacterium. RNAcentral describes it as "partial 16S ribosomal RNA". It matches the Rfam family "Bacterial small subunit ribosomal RNA", at positions 509 to 808 of the family's 1533-position model. The record is from RNAcentral.